Daphnia pulex (common water flea) is the source of this 432-nucleotide long non-coding RNA. RefSeq lists it as uncharacterized. The transcript is spliced from 3 exons. The record is from RefSeq and is a predicted model, not a curated record. NCBI's taxonomy places the organism in Eukaryota, Metazoa, Arthropoda, Branchiopoda, Diplostraca, Daphniidae.
UGUGAAUUCCAUUUUCACGGUUUUGUCAUCAUGAACUUUUCAGUGUGCUUCUUAGAAAAGAGAACGCAGUUUCUUUGUGGAAUCGUGUGGUCAUGGCACGGAUAUUCUUGAGCCAACGCUGGCUUUUGUCCAUGACCAACGUUCUGCUCCAUCCUUAUCUUCCCGGCGUAAACUUUUCCAGCUUCUGCUUCAUCGCGUCGUACACAAAAAUACAACUUGUCUUGCUUCACUGACGAGUUGGAACACUUCAGCCGUCGCUUCCGUGCCUCUGUUACACACCUGCAGUCACUCACCACGGGAUUAUGCCCAGGAAAUGCAGAGGAGACGUCGAGAAGAUGAACACUAAAAAAUCUCCGGUAUCACCAAAAUGUCAGCGCGGAUCAUCAUUUGUUGUUAAUAUGUUGUUGUUUGUGUUAGUUAACCCGUUGACUG